GAAAUGCGAUAAUUAAUGUGAAUUGCAGAAUUCAGUGAAUCAUCGAGUCUUUGAACGCACAUUGCGCCCCCUGGUAUUCCGGGGGGCAUGCCUGUCCGAGCGUCAUUGCUGCCCUCAAGCACGGCUUGUGUGUUGGUCUUCCGUCCCUGGCAACGGGGACGGGCCCAAAAGGCAGUGGCGGCACCAUGUCUGGUCCUCGAGCGUAUGGGGCUUUGUCACCCGCUCCCGUAGGUCCAUCUGGCAGCUAGCCUCGCAACCAAUCUUUUUAACCAGGUUGACCUCGGAUCAGGUAGGGAUACCCGCUGAACUUAAGC
This 314-nucleotide unclassified non-coding RNA is filed under the name plant metagenome. Its description in RNAcentral is "partial contains 5.8S ribosomal RNA, internal transcribed spacer 2, and large subunit ribosomal RNA". The stretch from base 1 to 105 matches the Rfam family "5.8S ribosomal RNA", at positions 50 to 154 of the family's 154-position model. The record is from RNAcentral.